GAUGAACGCUAGCUACAGGCUUAACACAUGCAAGUCGAGGGGCAGCAUCAUCAAAGCUUGCUUUGAUGGAUGGCGACCGGCGCACGGGUGAGUAACACGUAUCCAACCUGCCGACAACACUGGGAUAGCCUUUCGAAAGAAAGAUUAAUACCGGAUGGCAUAAUUAUUCCGCAUGGGAUAAUUAUUAAAGAAUUUCGGUUGUCGAUGGGGAUGCGUUCCAUUAGGCAGUUGGCGGGGUAACGGCCCACCAAACCUACGAUGGAUAGGGGUUCUGAGAGGAAGGUCCCCCACAUUGGAACUGAGACACGGUCCAAACUCCUACGGGAGGCAGCAGUGAGGAAUAUUGGUCAAUGGACGAGAGUCUGAACCAGCCAAGUAGCGUGAAGGAUGACUGCCCUAUGGGUUGUAAACUUCUUUUAUACGGGAAUAAAGUGAGCCACGUGUGGCUUUUUGUAUGUACCGUAUGAAUAAGGAUCGGCUAACUCCGUGCCAGCAGCCGCGGUAAUACGGAGGAUCCGAGCGUUAUCCGGAUUUAUUGGGUUUAAAGGGAGCGUACGCGGGUUGUUAAGUCAGUUGUGAAAGUUUGCGACUCAACCGUAAAAUUGCAGUUGAUACUGGCGACCUUGAGUGCCACAGAGGUAGGCGGAAUUCGUGGUGUAGCGGUGAAAUGCUUAGAUAUCACGAAGAACUCCGAUUGCCAAGGCCGCUUUACUGGAUUGUAACUGACGCUGAUGCUCGAAAGUGUGGGUAUCAAACAGGAUUAGAUACCGUGGUAGUCCACACAGUAAACGAUGAAUACUCGCUGUUGGAGAUAUACAGUCAGCGGACAAGAGAAAGCAUUAAGUAUUCCACGUGGGGAGUACGCCGGCAACGGUGAAACUCAAAGGAAUUGACGGGGGCCCGCACAAGCGGAGGAACAUGUGGUUUAAUUAGAUGAUACGCGAGGAACCUUACCCGGGCUUAAAUUGCAACUGACGGAACCGGAAACGGUUCUUUGUUCGGACAGUUGUGAAGGUGCUGCAUGGUUGUCGUCAGCUCGUGCCGUGAGGUGUCGGCUUAAGUGCCAUAACGAGCGCAACCCUUACGGGUAGUUACCAUCAGGUUAUGCUGGGGACUCUACCCGGACUGCCGUCGUAAGAUGUGAGGAAGGUGGGGAUGACGUCAAAUCAGCACGGCCCUUACGUCCGGGGCUACACACGUGUUACAAUGGGGGGUACAGAAGGCAGCUACACGGCGACGUGGUGCUAAUCCCAAAAGCCUCUCUCAGUUCGGAUUGGAGUCUGCAACCCGACUCCAUGAAGCUGGAUUCGCUAGUAAUCGCGCAUCAGCCACGGCGCGGUGAAUACGUUCCCGGGCCUUGUACACACCGCCCGUCAAGCCAUGAAAGCCGGGGGUACCUGAAGUACGUAACCGCGAGGAGCGUCCUAGGGUA
RNAcentral lists this ribosomal RNA (1432 nucleotides) under uncultured organism. RNAcentral's name for it is "16S ribosomal RNA". It matches the Rfam family "Bacterial small subunit ribosomal RNA". The record is from RNAcentral.